RNAcentral lists this transfer RNA (93 nucleotides) under Morchella conica CCBAS932. It matches the Rfam family "tRNA". From Rfam's summary of the family: Transfer RNA (tRNA) molecules are approximately 80 nucleotides in length. Their secondary structure includes four short double-helical elements and three loops (D, anti-codon, and T loops). Lineage: Eukaryota; Fungi; Ascomycota; Pezizomycetes; Pezizales; Morchellaceae. The record is from Rfam by way of RNAcentral.
GCCCUGCUGGCGCAAUGGUAGCGCGUCAGACUUCUAUUGGAUUAUAUCUUAUUUGAGAUCUGAAGGUUGCGGGUUCGACCCCCGCGUGGGGUU